Long non-coding RNA from Biomphalaria glabrata, 361 nucleotides. RefSeq lists it as uncharacterized. The transcript is spliced from 3 exons. The record is from RefSeq and is a predicted model, not a curated record. NCBI's taxonomy places the organism in Eukaryota, Metazoa, Mollusca, Gastropoda, Planorbidae.
AUGUUUCUACUGAAACUAAUAUAACCUAGGAUGUCAGAGUUGGAGGGACUACAAGUUGUUGAUGUGCAUACCAUAUAAUUUUUGGUAAAAGAACAUGGACUAUUUCAACUACUGAGAUGUGAAACAUGUCAUACACCCAAGAAUUGAGCUCUGCAGUCAAGUGUCUAAGAAUAUGGUUGAAAGAGAGAGAUAGAGAGAGAAAGCAAGGAAUGGUAGGCCUACUAUAAAAAAAAAGUAUACUAAUACCAUUAAAAAGGUAAAUCUGGAUCUAUUGUCAUUUCGCUACAUUCAAAAAAAGUGAGAUAAACUAUAACAAUAAAUAAAUCCAAAAUGAUAUUUCUUUUUGUUUUAUUUAGAGAAC